Molecule: ribosomal RNA, 253 nt
Filed under: uncultured bacterium
Lineage: Bacteria
Description: partial 16S ribosomal RNA
Rfam family: Bacterial small subunit ribosomal RNA
Source: RNAcentral
UACGGAGGAUGCAAGCGUUAUCCGGAAUGAUUGGGCGUAAAGCGUCCGCAGGUGGCUAUGUAAGUCUGCUGUUAAAGAGUGAGGCUCAACCUCAUAAGAGCAGUGGAAACUACAUGGCUAGAGUGCGUUCGGGGCAGAGGGAAUUCCUGGUGUAGCGGUGAAAUGCGUAGAGAUCAGGAAGAACACCGGUGGCGAAAGCGCUCUGCUAGGCCGCGACUGACACUCAUGGACGAAAGCUAGGGGAGCGAAUGGG